Molecule: ribosomal RNA, 865 nt
Filed under: uncultured Haloplanus sp.
Lineage: Archaea; Methanobacteriati; Methanobacteriota; Halobacteria; Halobacteriales; Haloferacaceae
Description: bacterial SSU rRNA
Rfam family: Archaeal small subunit ribosomal RNA
Source: RNAcentral
UUCCGGUUGAUCCUGCCGGAGGCCAUUGCUAUCGGAGUCCGAUUUAGCCAUGCUAGUCGCACGGGUUCAGACCCGUGGCGAAUAGCUCCGUAACACGUGGCCAAUCUACCCUACGGACCGGCAUAACCUCGGGAAACUGAGGCUAAUUCCGAAUACGGCUCCCACGCUGGAACGCGGGGAGCCGGAAACGUUCCGACGCCGUAGGAUGAGGCUGCGGCCGAUUAGGUAGACGGUGGGGUAACGGCCCACCGUGCCGAUAAUCGGUACGGGUUGUGAGAGCAAGAGCCCGGAGACGGAAUCUGAGACAAGAUUCCGGGCCCUACGGGGCGCAGCAGGCGCGAAACCUUUACACUGCACGCCAGUGCGAUAGGGGGACUCCGAGUGCGGAGGCAUAGUGCCUUCGCUUUUCUGCACCGUAAGGUGGUGCAUGAAUAAGAGCUGGGCAAGACCGGUGCCAGCCGCCACGGUAAUACCGGCAGCUCGAGUGAUGGCCGAUUUUAUUGGGCCUAAAGCGUCCGUAGCCGGCCACACAAGUCCAUCGGGAAAUCCGCCAGCCCAACUGGCGGGCGUCCGGUGGAAACUGUGUGGCUUGGGACCGGAAGACCCAACAGGUACGUCUUGGGUAGGAGUGAAAUCCCGUAAUCCUGGACGGACCACCGAUAGCGAAAGCAUGUUGGGAAGACGGAUCCGACGGUGAGGGACGAAAGCCAGGGUCUCGAACCGGAUUAGAUACCCGGGUAGUCCUGGCCGUAAACGAUGUCUGCUAGGUGUGGCUCCCACUACGAGUGGGUGCUGUGCCGUAGGGAAGCCGCUAAGCAGACCGCCUGGGAAGUACGUCCGCAAGGAUGAAACUUAAAGGAAUUGG